GAUAGUGUGCUUGACAAAAAGGCCGUCUUGAUAGGGCGGAACAUGUGAGCUAAUUCUCACCACUAUCA
This 68-nucleotide transfer RNA is filed under the name Caridina multidentata. RNAcentral describes it as "tRNA-Ile". The record is from RNAcentral. Lineage: Eukaryota; Metazoa; Arthropoda; Malacostraca; Decapoda; Atyidae.